UACAGAGGUCUCAAGCGUUGUUCGGAUUCAUUGGGCGUAAAGGGUGCGUAGGCGGCGCGGUAAGUCGGGUGUGAAAUCUCGGAGCUUAACUCCGAAACUGCAUUCGAUACUGCCGUGCUUGAGGACUGGAGAGGAGACUGGAAUUUACGGUGUAGCGGUGAAAUGCGUAGAUAUCGUAAGGAAGACCAGUGGCGAAGGCGGUUCUCUGGGCAUGUCCUGACGCUGAGGAGCGAAAGUGUGGGGAGCGAACAGG
RNAcentral lists this ribosomal RNA (253 nucleotides) under uncultured bacterium. Its description in RNAcentral is "partial 16S ribosomal RNA". It matches the Rfam family "Bacterial small subunit ribosomal RNA", at positions 524 to 776 of the family's 1533-position model. The record is from RNAcentral.